Molecule: ribosomal RNA, 468 nt
Filed under: uncultured bacterium
Lineage: Bacteria
Description: partial 16S ribosomal RNA
Rfam family: Bacterial small subunit ribosomal RNA
Source: RNAcentral
GACGAACGCUGGCGGCGUGCUUAACACAUGCAAGUCGAACGGAAAGGCCCUGCUUUUGUGGGGUGCUCGAGUGGCGAACGGGUGAGUAACACGUGAGUAACCUGCCCUUGACUUUGGGAUAACUUCAGGAAACUGGGGCUAAUACCGGAUAGGAGCUCCUGCUGCAUGGUGGGGGUUGGAAAGUUUCGGCGGUUGGGGAUGGACGCGCGGCUUAUCAGCUUGUUGGUGGGGUAGUGGCUUACCAAGGCUUUGACGGGUAGCCGGCCUGAGAGGGUGACCGGCCACAUUGGGACUGAGAUACGGCCCAGACUCCUACGGGAGGCAGCAGUGGGGAAUAUUGCACAAUGGGCGGAAGCCUGAUGCAGCAACGCCGCGUGCGGGAUGCCGGCCUUCGGGUUGUAAACCGCUUUCGCCUGUGGCGAAGCGUGAGUGACGGUAAUGGGUGAAGAAGCACCGGCUAACUACGUG